GGCAGCCAGGGCAGCAGCAGCAGCAGUCGUCUCAG
This 35-nucleotide non-coding RNA is filed under the name Mus musculus (house mouse). Lineage: Eukaryota; Metazoa; Chordata; Mammalia; Rodentia; Muridae. The record is from RNAcentral.